GACGAACGCUGGCGGCGUGCCUAAUACAUGCCAGUAGAACGCUGAAGGAGGGGCUUGCUUCUCUGGAUGAGUUGCGAACGGGUGAGUAACGCGUAGGUAACCUGCCUGGUAGCGGGGGAUAACUAUUGGAAACGAUAGCUAAUACCGCAUAAUAGCAGUUGUUGCAUGACAACUGUUUGAAAGGUGCAAUUGCACCACUACCAGAUGGACCUGCGUUGUAUUAGCUAGUUGGUGGGGUAACGGCUCACCAAGGCGACGAUACAUAGCCGACCUGAGAGGGUGAUCGGCCACACUGGGACUGAGACACGGCCCAGACUCCUACGGGAGGCAGCAGUAGGGAAUCUUCGGCAAUGGACGGAAGUCUGACCGAGCAACGCCGCGUGAGUGAAGAAGGUUUUCGGAUCGUAAAGCUCUGUUGUAAGAGAAGAACGAGUGUGAGAGUGGAAAGUUCACACUGUGACGGUAUCUUACCAGAAAGGGACGGCUAACUACGUG
RNAcentral lists this ribosomal RNA (495 nucleotides) under uncultured bacterium. RNAcentral's name for it is "partial 16S ribosomal RNA". It matches the Rfam family "Bacterial small subunit ribosomal RNA", at positions 28 to 507 of the family's 1533-position model. The record is from RNAcentral.